RNAcentral lists this ribosomal RNA (491 nucleotides) under uncultured bacterium. RNAcentral describes it as "partial 16S ribosomal RNA". It matches the Rfam family "Bacterial small subunit ribosomal RNA", at positions 29 to 506 of the family's 1533-position model. The record is from RNAcentral.
AGUGAACGCUGGCGGUAGGCCUAACACAUGCAAGUCGAACGGCAGCACAGUAAGAGCUUGCUCUUACGGGUGGCGAGUGGCGGACGGGUGAGGAAUACAUCGGAAUCUACUUUUUCGUGGGGGAUAACGUAGGGAAACUUACGCUAAUACCGCAUACGACCUACGGGUGAAAGCAGGGGAUCUUCGGACCUUGCGCGAUUGAAUGAGCCGAUGUCGGAUUAGCUAGUUGGCGGGGUAAAGGCCCACCAAGGCGACGAUCCGUAGCUGGUCUGAGAGGAUGAUCAGCCACACUGGAACUGAGACACGGUCCAGACUCCUACGGGAGGCAGCAGUGGGGAAUAUUGGACAAUGGGCGCAAGCCUGAUCCAGCCAUACCGCGUGGGUGAAGAAGGCCUUCGGGUUGUAAAGCCCUUUUGUUGGGAAAGAAAAGCAGCAGGUUAAUACCCCGCUGUUCGGACGGUACCCAAAGAAUAAGCACCGACUAACUUCGU